GACGAACGCUGGCGGCGCGCCUAACACAUGCAAGUCGAACGAGCGAGAGAGAGCUUGCUUUCUCGAGCGAGUGGCGAACGGGUGAGUAACGCGUGAGGAACCUGCCUCAAAGAGGGGGACAACAGUUGGAAACGACUGCUAAUACCGCAUAAGCCCACGACCCGGCAUCGGGUAGAGGGAAAAGGAGCAAUCCGCUUUGAGAUGGCCUCGCGUCCGAUUAGCUAGUUGGUGAGGUAACGGCCCACCAAGGCGACGAUCGGUAGCCGGACUGAGAGGGUGAACGGCCACAUUGGGACUGAGACACGGCCCAGACUCCUACGGGAGGCAGCAGUGGGGAAUAUUGCACAAUGGGGGAAACCCUGAUGCAGCGACGCCGCGUGGAGGAAGAAGGUCUUCGGAUUGUAAACUCCUGUUGUUGAGGAAGAUAAUGACGGUACUCAACAAGGAAGUGACGGCUAACUACGUG
RNAcentral lists this ribosomal RNA (466 nucleotides) under uncultured bacterium. RNAcentral describes it as "partial 16S ribosomal RNA". It matches the Rfam family "Bacterial small subunit ribosomal RNA", at positions 28 to 507 of the family's 1533-position model. The record is from RNAcentral.